GCCGGGCGUGGUAGUGCAUGCCUGUAAUUCCAGCUACUCGGGAGGCUGAGGCAGGAGAAUCGCUUGAACCCAGGAGGCGGAGAUUGCAGUUAGCCAAGAUCGCCCCACUGCAAUCCAGCCUGGGCAACAGAGCGAGACUCUGUCUCAA
This is a non-coding RNA of Homo sapiens (human), 148 nucleotides long. It matches the Rfam family "Metazoan signal recognition particle RNA". Rfam says of the family: The signal recognition particle (SRP) is a universally conserved ribonucleoprotein. It is involved in the co-translational targeting of proteins to membranes. The record is from Rfam. NCBI's taxonomy places the organism in Eukaryota, Metazoa, Chordata, Mammalia, Primates, Hominidae.